This is a non-coding RNA of Physcomitrium patens, 3445 nucleotides long. NCBI's taxonomy places the organism in Eukaryota, Viridiplantae, Streptophyta, Bryopsida, Funariales, Funariaceae. The record is from RefSeq and is a predicted model, not a curated record.
UGCAUAGAAUGGGAUAGACGUUCCAUCAACAUAUUGAAUGUCCCAUCUACUGAUGGUGACAUAUAGCAGAUUUACAGCUAUGAGACUUUGGUAAAUUUUGGGAUCUACAGCUGAAGUGUUAGUUUCCUUGGUGAGCUUGAGUUGGGGUUCAUGGAUAUAUCUAGUGGUUUACAAUAUGUGAGAUUGAAUCUUUCUAGCAGCUUUGUGAUGUAUUUUUGUUGAUGAAAAUAGAUCUCUUGCUUGUAAUAGUGUAAUUCUACCCCUAGAUACAUGCGAGCAUCUCCCAGGACAUGUUUGGAUCUUCUUGACUCCUGUGAAGGCCCAGUUUCUAGUGUCUUCUGGCUGCUAGGGCUAUCAAGCAUCGAAUGUGGAUCAUCGAACUACUGGAGCAAAUGUUUUGAAAUAAUCCAAGCCAUCUUCCUGUUCGAAACCUCGUGCGACGAUUCGUGCUUUCAGUUUUUCAGGUUUGUCUGUGGUUCCUAAUUUGGUUUUAAAUAUCCAUUUGGCUAAGAUGGGUGUGCGCCCAGCGAGUAAAUCCACAAGUUUCUAUGUUUGUUUUUUUCGAAUGGAAUGUAUCUCCUGGUUUAUUGCGUCUCUCUAGCCUGGUGUCUGAAUUGCAUCGUUGUAGCUUUGAGGCUUUAAAUCCAGUUCUGCCGCAAAAGUAAAAUUGUUGCGGUAGUAUCUUGAGCUUGUUUUUCUAUUCCUGAUUAGAUACCUGCGAGGUGGUUGUGCUACGGUUUCUAUUUGUUGUGAUACGUCGAUGUAUGGUUCCAAUUUGGGCUACUUUUGGGUGUCGUAUGUGAGCGGGUAGUUAUUGCUUCUGUCGGGGUUCGGCGGCGAUAUCGGUGGAGCAGAAGUUCUGCGGUGCGACCUCGGAGUCGGGACUCAUUGCGGUGAUGUCGGCAAGUUUACUAUUUUUGGAAUAAGGCUGCAGUCUGUGUUAUGAUUGGGAUUGAAUACAGGUUGACCCAGGUGAGGUUCUAUGAUUUCUCAGCUGUCCAGUUCUGUCGGGACUUGGGGCAUUCGUUCAGCAGGUAGGAUCUGCGAUCCGGGUCCUAGGAGUGAGUCGCUGGUCGCUGUCUGUUUAGCAGGUUCGAUCUGCGAUGGGGUUUGGGGAAGACGAAAGUUUUGCUUGGGGUAGAGUGCUUGGUGUGAGCAUGCCCGUACCCAACUUUUGUCUCAUCGAAGACGACGUCCCUGCUUAGACGGAUUUUCCUGUGAGCAGGAUCAAACACCUUGUAAAGUUUACUUUCUGUGUUGUAUCCCAAGAAGAAGCACCUAAUCGUCUUGCUUUCCAAUUCCGUCCUCUGUUCUUUUGGGACAUGAAGGUAUGCCAGUGGAGCCAAGAUCUUAAGGAAAUAUACUCUAGGUUUAAUUCUAGUGUACCAUUCUUUAGGUUUUACCCGGUAAUUAGCACAAGUGGGGCUCAAGUUGAUGAGGAGGUUUGCUAUAUUGACUAAUUCAGUCCAUAGAAAGCCUGGACAAUUGCUGGUGGCGGCCAUUGAUCUGGCCCUUUUUAUGAUUGUUCGAUUCUUGCGUUUGCUGAGGAGUGCGAGCCAUUGUGAGCUCACGUUUGAUCCCGUAAGUUCUGAGGUAUGCAGUAAAAUCUGUUGAUAAGUAUUCCCCUCCUCUGUCCGUCCUGAGGCAGAGGGUUUUCAUGUUUGUUUCUUUUUCUACUCUUGUUCUGAAUUCCUUCAAUUUUGUCAAGGUUUCUAAUUUGUGUUUCAUAAAGUAUAACCAGGUUUUACGGGAGUAAUCAUUCGCAAAAGCAACAUAAUAUUGUGAACCACUCAGUGAUGGAGUUCUAAUAGGUCCGACUAAGUCUUAAUGAAUAAGUUGCAGUAGCUUGUUUGAGCGAUGCGAAGAUGAUUUUGGGAAGCGCUCCCGAUGCUGGCGGCCAGCAAAGCAAUCGUGACAUAUCUCCUUUGUGAUUAGAAGUUGAAGCAGCGUUUGUCUGUGAACAAGAUGAUGUGUCCAGUAUCUGCCGAAGCUCCAACAGACAUCAGAUUUUGCUUUAACGCAGGAACACAUAAAACGUUGCUCAAAUUUAUUGUUCCAGAAUGUGUGGCAGCACUGGAUGAGCCUAUGGCAUCGACUCGAUGAGAUUUGUCAUCUGCCGUUUUGACACUCUUAUCCAAGUGUCGUUGUUCUAUAACAUAAAACUUCCCUCUCUCUUUUCUAAAAUGGUGACUAGCGCCUGAAUCCAUGUACCAAUUCUGGUUAUGAUAGUUGAUAAGAUUGGCUUCUGCUGAUAAUUCUGCUUGAUCAACAUAACCAUCACCUUUGACAUAGUAGGCUGUACUAAAAUCCUGGCUAUUAGAGUCGGCGGGAUCUUUAUGUUGGGACACGGCUCCUAUCAGGUUGUCUCCCACCGACAUCGUUAUUCCAGACUGCGCCCUUUGCUUUGAGUCUCUGUCGGACCUCUGUGGACUGUAUCCCUCCUAUAGUCGCCGGAAACUGGCUCGGGGGAUUCUUUGUCUCUACGAGUACCCAGAGAUUCUCACGUUUGAGAACCGUCUUCACCUUGAGGCUCCACACAUUGUAGUUCUGUGGACCAAGUAACUUGUUGGUUUCUCCUACCUCGCAGUUUGAGGUCUUUUCUCACCUUGAGGCUCCACACGUUGUAGUUCUGUGGACCAAGUAACUUGUUGGUUUCUCCUACCUCGCAGUUUGAGGUCUUUUCUCUAGCGUCUGCCAUUGCUAGUGAACUAGCUAUCGGUUAUGAGAGCUUUCUAUUUCGUGUCUGCUCUGUACUCUAGUACAAGGGAGCAGUGCUCACCUUGGCAACUAACUACCAAAGAGCGUUUCGCUCUGAUACCAUGUUGACAUCUGCACUCGUAACAUACUCUGUGUACUCAACAGUGAAAGAGGGAGUUGUAUUUGAUAUCAAAGGUGUAUAUAUGCAUUACAGGCUUGGGGCUCUGAGCAAGACUAUUGGGUGAGGUGAUACUAAUUUAAGUAUCAUGACGUGUCAGGAUGACGUCAUCAAGGAAGGUGCUGGAUUGAUUCACCAACAUGGGAGUAGGGCGCAACCAUCAAUUGAUGAGUACAAAAAAGGAAGUCUCAGCAACAAGGAAGAGAUGCAUACCCUGGGAUCACGAUAAAGAUCACUGAGAUUUUCGAAACCAAUCUUAUGUGCAACAUCGCCAGCUUGGUCUAUUUGUUCCAUCGUUCCCUCCAAAGGAAUAUUCAGGAGCUGCGAACAAAAAAUCGAUCAGAAUCUCCACAUGGUAAUCACUCUUGCACGAAAGUAUCUUAACACAAGUCGACCCUGAGUUUUAUAUCCACGGUGGUUGAUAAAACCUGGAACGCAUGUCAUUGUCGUAAACUCAUAAGACGCUACUUGCAUCAUGUCCUAAUGGAGGGCUACACGUUGAGAUCAAUGAUGGUGUUCAAAUGAAAUAAUCUACACCCCAAAUUAAUCACAUCUCCCAAGUUGUUACGA